GCGGAUGUGGCGGAACUGGCAGACGCGCUAGAUUCAGGUUCUAGUGGCCGCAAGGUCGUGGAGGUUCGAGUCCUCUCAUCCGCACCA
RNAcentral lists this transfer RNA (87 nucleotides) under Acidobacteriota bacterium. Its description in RNAcentral is "tRNA-Leu". It matches the Rfam family "tRNA". Rfam says of the family: Transfer RNA (tRNA) molecules are approximately 80 nucleotides in length. Their secondary structure includes four short double-helical elements and three loops (D, anti-codon, and T loops). The record is from RNAcentral. Lineage: Bacteria; Pseudomonadati; Acidobacteriota. RNAcentral also lists the same sequence under 2 other names.